UGCUUUCCUGCUUACUCAUUGCCUUUGACACUCUGCUAACAGAAGUCAUCCAAUCUCAGCCUUCUACCAGGGUUUACACUCCUUUUAUGUUUCUGACAAGUUUAACCUCUGCUUGGAUACUUCCAGUGAUGAAGAGCUCACCAUUUCACAAGGGACUUUGGCAACUUCUAAGACUGUAAUUUUCAGCAGCAGCUCUCAUCUGCUUUGAGACCAAGCAUGAUAAAACAAAAACUGGCACAGGGAAUUGGAUUCCAAGAAGAGUGAAAAAGUGUAUAAGCAUUGAACUGCCCUAAUGAAUUCAGGUCACCAGGCCCAGAAUGAUGACAUUCCAAGAUAUUUGCACAAAUGAUUACUGACCACUAUCAUCUUUGAAAAAAUCAUGGGAAAAAAAGGGACCUCGAAUUUUGGGGAAGGACCCUAAGUCUCUGUCUUCUUCACCUAUUCUCCUAGUGAUGCUCACUGUAUAGCUGGUAGACCGCAAAAUAACAAGUAUUUCAAAACAGCAUUCUAACAACCCCACCCUGCUUCACAUUUUUGGCAUUACUAAGUGGCAAAGUGAAUAGAGUGCC
Vombatus ursinus (common wombat) is the source of this 569-nucleotide long non-coding RNA. RefSeq lists it as uncharacterized. The transcript has 4 exons. The record is from RefSeq and is a predicted model, not a curated record. NCBI's taxonomy places the organism in Eukaryota, Metazoa, Chordata, Mammalia, Diprotodontia, Vombatidae.